UCUGGUGGCUUUUGGGAAGGCACUGU
Molecule: non-coding RNA, 26 nt
Filed under: Cricetulus griseus (Chinese hamster)
Lineage: Eukaryota; Metazoa; Chordata; Mammalia; Rodentia; Cricetidae
Source: RNAcentral